RNAcentral lists this long non-coding RNA (392 nucleotides) under Homo sapiens (human). RNAcentral describes it as "non-protein coding lnc-CLEC18B-2:6". The record is from RNAcentral. Lineage: Eukaryota; Metazoa; Chordata; Mammalia; Primates; Hominidae.
CCGCAUUGCUCCCGCCGGGCUGUAGCUGAGCGCGGAGCCCGUGGGGGCCGGUGAGUUUGAGUUCCUGAGAUCUAGUUGGUGAGAGACAUGAUGUUCUACUGGUUGCUGUCGAUUGUUGGAAGACAAAGAGCCAGCCCAGGAUGGCAGAACUGGUCCUCUGCAAGAAACAGCGCAUCAGCUGCCGAGGCGCGUUCCAUGGCCCUGCCCACCCAGGCACAGGUGGUCGUCUGUGGAGGUGGAAUCACGGGCACUUCUGUGGCCCAUCACCAAUCCAAAAUGGGGUGGAAGGAUAUUGUCCUUUUGGAGCAGGGCAGGUAAGGAUCAGACUGCAUUUGGCUCAUGGCUGUGCUGCACUAAUCGUAUCAGAUUCCCUCUCCUUUCAGAGAUACUGC